UACGUAGGGGGCGAGCGUUGUCCGGAUUCAUUGGGCGUAAAGCGCUUUAAGGCGGUUCGCUAAGUCGGGUGUGAAACCUCCAGGCUCAACCUGGAGACGCCACUCGAUACUGGCGUGACUAGAGUUCGGUAGGGGACCACGGAAUUCCUGGUGUAGCGGUGAAAUGACGCAGAUAUCAGGAGGAACACCAGUGGCGAAGGCGGUGGUCUGGGCCGAUACUGACGCUGUAGAGCGAAAGCGUGGGGAGCGAACAGG
RNAcentral lists this ribosomal RNA (255 nucleotides) under uncultured bacterium. Its description in RNAcentral is "partial 16S ribosomal RNA". It matches the Rfam family "Bacterial small subunit ribosomal RNA", at positions 524 to 776 of the family's 1533-position model. The record is from RNAcentral.